UUAAAGAACAUCCAGAGCACUGACCAAAACAGAUGCCAGGUCUAGACGGCAGGAUGAGGUGAAAGUCCAGGAACAGAGGACAACGGCAGGCCCCUCAGGCAGGAGAGAAUAUAAGUCAAAGAUGCAUUUUUAAGAGAACUUGGAGAAAGGGGGUUUUGUAAGAGACGACAGAGAAAUGAAGUUGCCAGGACAUCUCCGCUCCAAGAAUAGCCAGAGGAACUUGGUCUGAACAUGCCCUUAAGAAUGACUAUGCUAGCCAGGCGCAAUGGCUCACACCUGUAAUCCCAGCACUUUGGGAGGACGAGGCGGGCAGAUCACCUGAAGUCAGGAGUUUGAGAGCACCGUGCCCAACAGGGUCUCUACUAAAAAAUACACCAAUUAGCCGGGUGUCGUGACGCACACCUGUAGUCCCAGUUACUCGCGAGGCUGAGGCAGGAGAACUGCUUAAACCCAGGAGGUGGAAGUUGCAGUGAGCUGAGAUUGCACCACUGCACUCCAGCUUGGGCGACAGAGACUCCAUUUCUCCAAAAAAAAAAAAAAAAAAAAAAAAAAAGAGAAUGACUAUGCACUAACGUAAGCCUGCCUAGCUGUAGCGUCCCAGAACAGCUAGCAAAGUUCAGCACUGGUCCACUGUGUUUGCUAUAGUUUGUACUAGGCCUUUUUCCUUAAUCUUUGCUUUUGCUCUGAUCUAAUUCAGACAUGAUCAUCAGUUUAAAAAUAAGUGGAGCUGAAUUUUUGUAGGUUUCUGUUUCUCAAUCUAAUAUCCUGCAUGAGGAGUGGUUCCUUACCUCCUACCCUCCCACCCCUCAAAGAUCUGACCUAAGGUGGGACAUGAAAUCAGAAAAACUAAAAUGUCUGUGACUUUUGAGGAUGGAAAAGAUUGUACUGGGGAUUAAUCCAGAGAAACCUACACAUGAGGCGAAAGUUGCUGGAAAUAAUUUGGAAAGAACUGGGCUUAGUACUCAGGAGAGGAUUUAAAAAUGGUUCAGGUGGCAAGAGAUCUCCUGCAUGUUGUAAUCAUUUUGCAGCGACCAAAUGACUAGGACAUGGGAGAAAAAAAGGGGAGAACCCCCCACCCUGCCCCCACAGUGAAUACAGUUUGAGUCUGUAAUCCUGGACCUGAAAGGCCAGGAGAAGGAGCUACCCAGGCAGCACAGAAGCCUGGAAUGUGUGCCCCCACUCCCGGCAGAAGCCACACUGUGGGGCAGAAACACUCAACCCUUCCACGUGCUAUUCAUGAGCAUCAGGGAAGGGGAAGAAAGAAGAGAUGUAUGUGGACUGGAGCUUUUCCCUUGUUUUUCCAAAUUAAAUAAGCUGCUGCUCUUCCUUCAUUCUCCUGGCUCUUUCCCUACCCCACCGCCGCCAUACCGCGGCCCCUCAUGGUCCUCCCCGCUCUGAGCUCAGGCCCUGGAGGAACUGGAAGUGCUCCUGUCGCUGCUCAGCUGCUGAACUGGUCUUCUGACCAUGCCUCUUUCCUGCAACAACUCUUUGGCAACCCUCCUCCAAAACGUCCCAGUUUCCCUCCCUGCCCCUUGAUCUGGUGCCAGAGGGGACGGUAACAAAACACAAAACAAAAACACAACAAAGAGGCCAUGGAGCCAGUGCCAGCAAGCAAUGAGAGGGAGAAAUGGAGCCCAGUGGAGUUCUUCUCCCUAAAGGAAAAUUAAAAGACAGAUGAUCAGCUAGCUCCCAGAAGUUCUGCCUCGGGCCUAAAUGAAAUAAAUGAAAAGGGUGAGAAAUCCUAAUGAAAUCACCAAUCCAAACAACACAACGACCUGAGGGCGCUAAGGGUCAAGGUUCAGGACAAUUCAAGGAGAAGCAGUCAGGCCUGUGGUUUUACAACCCAAGCCCUGGGCUUGGCCACCAGCACAGGAGAGCAAAGGGCCCGACCAACCCCUUUCCUUCCACAUCUCAGUGAUGAGCGUGGUGUGACUGAGCGCCUACUGCACACCGAUGCCCAUAAGAUGUGGUCUUCAGCAUAGGACUCCUUGAACAGGUAAACCAGGGUACGGCUACACGCUCCGCUGGAGAAUUUCUCACUUUACGAAAGGAGCUGUGUGCUCAGGUUCCUACACCAGUAAGUACAGGGAAUAUGAUUGUGUUUUCAGCUUCAUUUCGACUGACUCUAAACAAUGUAAAUCUAUGAGCUACAAAAUUCCACCUGUCAAAAAUUGCAUUUACAUGCAGUUUUUCAGGAAGGUGUCUGUUCUAUAAAUUGAGGUGUACCAGUGCUAUGUGCUAAGGAGUAAAGAAGAGCAAGAAAAGAAAGCGGGUCCUGACUUCUGCCCGCAGCACUCCCAGGUUAAGGGAGAGGUGCAGGUAUUUCUAACAAGUACACACACAUCCAGGACUACUGGUGUUUCCUGCUCCACCCUCAUCCCUGCCACCCACUCUUCCACCCCAUCACCCAAGGCAGAUGUGCCAUCUCCUUUCCAACUACAGAAGACGGAACUCAUGAUAAAUCUUCCUGAUGUCACCGACCUAGAGCCUGGGAAAGGAAAAAGACGACAGGGGAAAUGGUCCUGUAUUAACCUCAAUGUAGCCAGCCAAUUGUUCUUCAUCCAGCGUUCGUAAUUUUUAUUUCUAGAGAGCUACCCUGGGAAGGCCUAAGCAGAUGAGCCACACCGUCCAAGCUGUGAGUUCAGCCAGUGUCCAGUCUGGAAGGCAGAGAACAAUGCGUGUGUGAUCCUGAGCUGGGCUGCCUGGGGUGCUGGUGCAGGUUAGCCCUGCAGCCGGCCAGCCUCUGGGCCCCUGCCAGGCUGCCGACCAGCCAGGGGAAGUGAAUGUGCUCAGCGUGAGAGUGCCAGCUGGCUAGGCUUUCUCCCCAGGGGGGAGGCUGUAAGCACAGAUUACCAGUGACUUUGUUCAGUUCUGCUGCCGUGCUCCCCGAGGAGAGGAACAUCACAGCCCAGCAUCAGUACUAAUAGGCCCUGAUGCGCCAGACCCAGGCUAAGAAGGCCAGCGUGGGGGUGGGGGUGCAGCAGAGAGGAGGACAAAAGCCACGCCUCUGAAGCUGUCAACUGGCUCUGAGGCUGACAAGGAAGCACUCUCUGCAGCAAGUUCCAAUCCCUGCCGCAGGAAGGAAUAAUUUCACCACUUUCUCACUAUUUACUGUCCACAGCAAAAAGAAACCCCCACACCUCCACUUAGCACCAUCGUGAGCAUCCCUAGAGUCCAAUAAAUUACAGAAGAGAAACUAAAACUUUCCUUUGCUUCAUUUCAAGGGCCUGUGACUGUGAAGUCACAUGAGCUGCCACAUCCAAGGCGUUGUCAUGGAGACAGUGGUGGUUGCAUAAAUGAUGUUGGUCCCCACUUUCAUAAAAAAAAAAGUAAUUUAAAUUUUUAUGUAUAAGACCAGUUCAUUAGACUGAGA
This 3373-nucleotide long non-coding RNA is filed under the name Homo sapiens (human). RNAcentral describes it as "HSALNT0341485". The record is from RNAcentral. Lineage: Eukaryota; Metazoa; Chordata; Mammalia; Primates; Hominidae.